Molecule: long non-coding RNA, 657 nt
Organism: Oncorhynchus kisutch (coho salmon)
Lineage: Eukaryota; Metazoa; Chordata; Actinopteri; Salmoniformes; Salmonidae
Exons: 4
Source: RefSeq, a predicted model, not a curated record
GUGUCAGAUCCAGGAGACUAAGCUCAAACACAGGAAACACCGGAUGAAGUUUGAAAACCAGCUCCAGCAGCUGAUAGAGCUGCAUAAGAACCUGCACUCUGUCUUUAGCCCAGACAGACUGCCUGCUGAAAUAGAGAGCGUUGAAAACGCCAAGUCUCAGCUGCUGAAGGCUGAACAGCUGAAGUUGUCUCAGCUCUGCCAUCUAGAGGAGGCGCUGGAUGAGGCCAGGAGGCAGACUUCGACUGACACAGCAGACAAACACACAGACUGAACCCUGGAACUGUACACUGUAAAAACGACCACUGUGUACAAUUACAGAUAUUACCAUGGCUCAUAGUUAGAGAGGGUUCCGUGGGUAGAAGCAAAGUUGUGAAUGUUUUGUGAUUGUUCUUCUUCCCUUGAUGUUGUGUAUUGAGGUCCCCUGUUUGAUGUUGUGGUUCUGAAUCAUUUGUACAUCAUUCUUUAUUAAUUAUUUAUUUGCUGCUGAGCAGUCUGCUUUUAAACAGAUUAAAUACAGUUGUCUAUGCUGGUUGAGGGCUACGUGUUUGUGGAUUGAGAGUCUCACACGGAUAAGAAUAAACAUCACCAACAUGAAUGCAACACAGACAGUCACCAGUGGUGUAAAGUACUUAAGUAAAAAUACUUUAAAGUACUACU